UGCAAGUCGAGCGGGAUGACGGGAGCUUGCUCCUGGAUUCAGCGGCGGACGGGUGAGUAAUGCCUAGGAAUCUGCCUGGUAGUGGGGGACAACGUUUCGAAAGGAACGCUAAUACCGCAUACGUCCUACGGGAGAAAGCAGGGGACCUUCGGGCCUUGCGCUAUCAGAUGAGCCUAGGUCGGAUUAGCUAGUUGGUGAGGUAAUGGCUCACCAAGGCGACGAUCCGUAACUGGUCUGAGAGGAUGAUCAGUCACACUGGAACUGAGACACGGUCCAGACUCCUACGGGAGGCAGCAGUGGGGAAUAUUGGACAAUGGGCGAAAGCCUGAUCCAGCCAUGCCGCGUGUGUGAAGAAGGUCUUCGGAUUGUAAAGCACUUUAAGUUGGGAGGAAGGGUUGUAGAUUAAUACUCUGCAAUUUUGACGUUACCGACAGAAUAAGCACCGGCUAACUCUGUGCCAGCAGCCGCGGUAAUACAGAGGGUGCAAGCGUUAAUCGGAAUUACUGGGCGUAAAGCGCGCGUAGGUGGUUUGUUAAGUUGGAUGUGAAAGCCCCGGGCUCAACCUGGGAACUGCAUCCAAAACUGGCAAGCUAGAGUACGGUAGAGGGUGGGUGGAAUUUCCUGUGUAGCGGUGAAAUGCGUAGAUAUAGGAAGGAACACCAGUGGCGAAGGCGACCACCUGGACUGAUACUGACACUGAGGUGCGAAAGCGUGGGGAGCAAACAGGAUUAGAUACCCUGGUAGUCCACGCCGUAAACGAUGUCAACUAGCCGUUGGAAUCCUUGAGAUUUUAGUGGCGCAGCUA
Molecule: ribosomal RNA, 805 nt
Filed under: Pseudomonas sp.
Lineage: Bacteria; Pseudomonadati; Pseudomonadota; Gammaproteobacteria; Pseudomonadales; Pseudomonadaceae
Description: bacterial SSU rRNA
Rfam family: Bacterial small subunit ribosomal RNA
Source: RNAcentral